This 576-nucleotide ribosomal RNA is filed under the name uncultured bacterium. RNAcentral describes it as "bacterial SSU rRNA". It matches the Rfam family "Bacterial small subunit ribosomal RNA", at positions 340 to 916 of the family's 1533-position model. The record is from RNAcentral.
UACGGGAGGCAGCAGUGAGGAAUAUUGGUCAAUGGACGCAAGUCUGAACCAGCCACGUCGCGUGAAGGAAGACGGCCCUACGGGUUGUAAACUUCUUUUAUACGGGAAUAAAGUGCCCCACGUGUGGGGUUUUGCAUGUACCGUAUGAAUAAGGAUCGGCUAACUCCGUGCCAGCAGCCGCGGUAAUACGGAGGAUCCGAGCGUUAUCCGGAUUUAUUGGGUUUAAAGGGUGCUCAGGGGGGGUAUUAAGUCGGCGGUGAAAUUUUGCAGCUCAACUGUAAAAGUGCCUUCGAAACUGGUAUCCUUGAGUGUGGAUGAGGUAGGCGGAAUUUGUGGUGUAGCGGUGAAAUGCAUAGAUAUCACGAGGAACUCCGAUUGCGCAGGCAGCUUACUAAACCAUAACUGACGCUCAAGCACGAAGGCGUGGGGAUCAAACAGGAUUAGAUACCCUGGUAGUCCACGCAGUAAACGAUGAUUACUGGCUGUUUGCGAUAUACAGUAAGCGGCUGAGCGAAAGCGUUAAGUAAUCCACCUGGGGAGUACGUUCGCAAGAAUGAAACUCAAAGGAAUUGACGG